The sequence is a transfer RNA, 71 nucleotides long. It matches the Rfam family "tRNA". From Rfam's summary of the family: Transfer RNA (tRNA) molecules are approximately 80 nucleotides in length. Their secondary structure includes four short double-helical elements and three loops (D, anti-codon, and T loops). Further hydrogen bonds mediate the characteristic L-shaped molecular structure. tRNAs have two regions of fundamental functional importance: the anti-codon, which is responsible for specific mRNA codon recognition, and the 3' end, to which the tRNAs corresponding amino acid is attached (by aminoacyl-tRNA synthetases). tRNAs cope with the degeneracy of the genetic code in two manners: having more than one tRNA (with a specific anti-codon) for a particular amino acid; and 'wobble' base-pairing, i.e. permitting non-standard base-pairing at the 3rd anti-codon position. The record is from Rfam.
UGGGGUAUCGCCAAGCGGUAAGGCACCGGAUUCUGAUUCCGGCAUCCGAGGUUCGAAUCCUCGUACCCCAG